This 797-nucleotide ribosomal RNA is filed under the name uncultured Porphyromonadaceae bacterium. Its description in RNAcentral is "bacterial SSU rRNA". It matches the Rfam family "Bacterial small subunit ribosomal RNA", at positions 8 to 795 of the family's 1533-position model. The record is from RNAcentral. Lineage: Bacteria; Pseudomonadati; Bacteroidota; Bacteroidia; Bacteroidales; Porphyromonadaceae.
AGAGUUUGAUCAUGGCUCAGGAUGAACGCUAGCGGUAGGCCUAACACAUGCAAGUCGAGGGGCAGCACAUGAAGUAGCAAUACGGAUGGUGGCGACCGGCGCACGGGUGAGUAACGCGUAUGCAACCUGCCUACAACAGGGGAAUAACCCGUUGAAAGACGGACUAAUACCCCAUAACACAGGGAUCCCGCAUGGGAAUAUUUGUUAAAGAUUUAUCGGUUGUAGAUGGGCAUGCGUUCCAUUAGCUGGUUGGUGAGGUAACGGCUCACCAAGGCAACGAUGGAUAGGGGAACUGAGAGGUUUAUCCCCCACACUGGUACUGAGACACGGACCAGACUCCUACGGGAGGCAGCAGUGAGGAAUAUUGGUCAAUGGACGCAAGUCUGAACCAGCCACGUCGCGUGAAGGAAGACGGCCCUACGGGUUGUAAACUUCUUUUGUAAGGGAAUAAAGUGCAGUACGUGUACUGUUUUGCAUGUACCUUACGAAUAAGGAUCGGCUAACUCCGUGCCAGCAGCCGCGGUAAUACGGAGGAUCCGAGCGUUAUCCGGAUUUAUUGGGUUUAAAGGGUGCGCAGGCGGGAGAUUAAGUCGGCGGUGAAAUUUUGCAGCUCAACUGUAAAAGUGCCUUCGAAACUGGUUUUCUUGAGUGUGGAUGAAGUAGGCGGAAUUUGUGGUGUGGCGGUGAAUGCAUAGAUAUCACGAGGAACUCCGAUCGCGCAGGCAGCUUACUAAACCAUAACUGACGCUCAGGCACGAAGGCGUGGGGAUCAAACAGGAUUAGAUACCCUGGUAGUC